UGGGGAAUUUUGCACAAUGGGGGAAACCCUGAUGCAGCGACGCCGCGUGAUUUAGAAGGCCUUCGGGUUGUAAAAAUCUUUUCUAUGGGAAGAAAAUGACAGUACCAUAGGAAUAAGGACCGGCUAAUUACGUGCCAGCAGCCGCGGUAAUACGUAAGGUCCGAGCGUUGUCCGGAAUCAUUGGGCGUAAAGGGUACGUAGGCGGGUAAGCAAGUUAGAAGUGAAAUCCUAUAGCUCAACUAUAGUAAGCUUUUAAAACUGCUCAUCUUGAGGUAUGGAAGGGAAAGUGGAAUUCCUAGUGUAGCGGUGAAAUGCGCAGAUAUUAGGAGGAAUACCGGUGGCGAAGGCGACUUUCUGGCCAUACCUGACGCUGAGGUACGAAAGCGUGGGUAGCAAACAGG
This 401-nucleotide ribosomal RNA is filed under the name bacterium. RNAcentral's name for it is "partial 16S ribosomal RNA". It matches the Rfam family "Bacterial small subunit ribosomal RNA", at positions 355 to 776 of the family's 1533-position model. The record is from RNAcentral.